CGUGAGCAACCUGCCUUUCANAGGGGGAUAACAGUUGGAAACGACUGCUAAUACCGCAUAACGCUGCGAUGGGGCAUCCCGAUGCAGCCAAAGGAGCAAUCCGCUGAAAGAUGGGCUCGCGGCCGAUUAGCUAGUUGGUGGGGCAACGGCCCACCAAGGCGACGAUCGGUAGUCGGACUGAGAGGUUGAUCGGCCACAUUGGGACUGAGACACGGCCCAGACUCCUACGGGAGGCAGCAG
RNAcentral lists this ribosomal RNA (240 nucleotides) under uncultured bacterium. Its description in RNAcentral is "partial 16S ribosomal RNA". It matches the Rfam family "Bacterial small subunit ribosomal RNA", at positions 116 to 354 of the family's 1533-position model. The record is from RNAcentral.